Aquila chrysaetos chrysaetos is the source of this 935-nucleotide long non-coding RNA. RefSeq lists it as uncharacterized. The record is from RefSeq and is a predicted model, not a curated record. NCBI's taxonomy places the organism in Eukaryota, Metazoa, Chordata, Aves, Accipitriformes, Accipitridae. The transcript is spliced from 2 exons.
UUGCCUAAAACAAAACAAAAAACCAAAAUGAAGAUAUCUUAGUUUCAGGUUGGUUGAUAAUAAAUUAAACCGUAUGGGAGACCAAUACAAUAUUCCAAAACUUGGAUGUAAACCAAAAUAAAAACUAAAAACCUGAAGAUGUUCAGGGUAUAGUCAACAAAAAUGGAGUCUGCAUUCCGAGUCAAAUUUAAGUAAGUUAAAGUUACUACUUGCAUUAAUAAUUGCAUCAGACUGUACUAUAUUUCAUAUGUGAUUAUAUGUUAAUGUUCAAACAAUCUGAGGUCUGCUUCCAGGAGUUGGACACAUUAAAAAAAAAUCUCAUUAUGCAUUACUACAACAAACCAGACAUAUGAUGGAACCAACAAAACUGUCUAGUCAGCUGGAAAUCCAGAUUACUUGUAACAGUGGAUGCUAAACAAUGCUAAAAAGCUCAUUUGGCAAGAGCCUUGUGUUACGUAGGCGAAUGAUGGAUUCCUGUAUUAUUCAACUAGCUGCCUGUUGACUGCUGCAUCUACAGUUCUCAUCUCUGGUAUAUGAUAACUGGAAAGUUUCCUUUCGAAUAACCUGCUUCAGACCUCAGCAGGGACACCAAGGAGUACAAUUUCACUUUCAACACACUUUAUAUAGAGAUAAAUGCUCUGUUAUAAACCAACAGAUUUUGUUGGGCCAAUUCUCCUAAUUUAGCAAGUAAAAAUCACUAUGUAAGUUUGUAUCAAUACGAAUUUACUAUAUAAAUAUAAAUGUAAACCAUAUAAAUGACAUUAACUUACCCAAAUUCUCUAUAAGAAACAAAUAAACAAUUUAUAACUGUUCAAAAGGCAAAUAACUCUUUCAUGAAGUGAAAAUGUUUUUCCUACAAAAUUGCUAUGCUCAUAAGAUUCAUAUUCAUAAGAUUGUCAGUUCCCUCUAGUAGAAAUUAAAUGGAUCCAUCUCGA